Molecule: ribosomal RNA, 482 nt
Filed under: uncultured bacterium
Lineage: Bacteria
Description: partial 16S ribosomal RNA
Rfam family: Bacterial small subunit ribosomal RNA
Source: RNAcentral
AUUGAACGCUGGCGGCAUGAUUUACACAUGCAAGUCGAACGGUAACAGGCCGCAAGGUGCUGACGAGUGGCGAACGGGUGAGUAAUGCAUCGGAACGUGCCCAGUCGUGGGGGAUAACUACUCGAAAGAGUAGCUAAUACCGCAUACGAUCUAUGGAUGAAAGCGGGGGACCGUAAGGCCUCGCGCGAUUGGAGCGGCCGAUGUCAGAUUAGGUAGUUGGUGGGGUAAAGGCUCACCAAGCCAACGAUCUGUAGCUGGUCUGAGAGGACGACCAGCCACACUGGGACUGAGACACGGCCCAGACUCCUACGGGAGGCAGGAGUGGGGAAUUUUGGACAAUGGGCGCAAGCCUGAUCCAGCAAUGCCGCGUGCAGGAAGAAGGCCUUCGGGUUGUAAACUGCUUUUGUACGGAACGAAACGGCUCUGGUUAAUACCCGGGGCUAAUGACGGUACCGGAAGAAUAAGCACCGGCUAACUACGUG